GAAGUCUUUAUAAAACAAUAGAGCAUAUAACCAAAAUGAUCUGGUUUUCAAAGAAGAACCCAUCAGCUAAAUUCUCCUUUUUUUUCUCUAAUUUGACAUUUUACAACAUUACACAAACCCUGAGACCUCUCUCUAACGAAGAGUCAAUUUCAAUUAAACCAAAAAAAGUCAACGAAACAAACCUCGACGGGGAUUCGAACGAA
Molecule: long non-coding RNA, 203 nt
Organism: Arabidopsis thaliana (thale cress)
Lineage: Eukaryota; Viridiplantae; Streptophyta; Magnoliopsida; Brassicales; Brassicaceae
Product: other RNA
Exons: 1
Source: RefSeq